Molecule: long non-coding RNA, 708 nt
Organism: Oreochromis aureus
Lineage: Eukaryota; Metazoa; Chordata; Actinopteri; Cichliformes; Cichlidae
Source: Ensembl
AAUGCAUUGUGGGAAAAAGGACCCAAAAAAGGAGGGAAAAGUCAGAGCAAGAGCAGCCAUUAGACUUCUUUCAGGCUUCAUCUGGAUUUUGGACUCUGGAGUUGGAGAAACUGCCUUCAAAUUUCCGUGUGCAGAGCAAUGGCCAAGAAAAGGAAAGACUUCCCUGAGUGAAAAAGAAGAUGAAGAUACAAGCUGGUGAUGAUCCAGAGCAGCUGGUCUCAGGAAAUGAAGAAAAACCCUGAUCACCUUUUCCACAGAAACAAGAAUAAAUUGCGACUAGUCUCAAUGGCUGAGAUGGAGGAGGAACACAGCGACACGUUAACCCGACUGCUGCAGUUCCUGUAUGAACUGAGCAACUCUAAAAAUCCAAGGAAAAAAGAGACAGCCAGGUUCAUAAUGGAUAUAAGGAAGUUUUUUCAAAAACAGAAGCCACAUUCAGUCCAAAGAGAGAGAGAGGAAAGAGGGGAACGUGAGGAGAAAGUACAAGGUCAGGAAGAACCAGAAGCUGUUGUCAUCAGUCACUUUCCUCGUUGUGUUGAUGGUGAGCUGCUCUUUAUGGACCUGAAACAAAGUUAUAACAAACAGCUGUGAAACAGACUGAUGCACAUGUAUGUAAAUUAUAUACGCUGCCCUCUGACAUGCACUACAUUAUGUGUGCAGUUUCAUUAUUCUAGAGAAACCAAUAAAAAUAAUCAAUAAAAGCUGGAU